RNAcentral lists this ribosomal RNA (468 nucleotides) under uncultured bacterium. RNAcentral describes it as "partial 16S ribosomal RNA". It matches the Rfam family "Bacterial small subunit ribosomal RNA", at positions 28 to 507 of the family's 1533-position model. The record is from RNAcentral.
GACGAACGCUGGCGGCGUGCUUAACACAUGCAAGUCGAACGGAAAGGCCCGGCUUUUGUGGGGUGCUCGUGUGGCGAACGGGUGAGUAACACGUGAGUAACCUGCCCUUGACUUUGGGAUAACUUCAGGAAACUGGGGCUAAUACAGCAUAGGAGCUCCUGCUGCAUGGUGGGGGUUGGAGAGUUGCGGCGGUUGGGGAUGGACUCGCGGGUUAUCAGCUUGUUGGUGGGGUAGUGGCUGACCAGGGCUGUGACGGGUAGCCGGCCGGAGCGGGUGACCGGCCACAUUGGGACUGAGGUACGGCCCAGACUCCUACGGGAGGCAGCAGGGGGGAAUAUUGCACAAUGGGCGGAAGCCUGAUGCAGCAACGCCGCGUGCGGGAUGACGGCCUUCGGGGUGUAAACCGCUUUCGCCUGUGACGAAGAGUGAGUGACGGUAAUUGGUAAAGAAGCACCGGCUAACUACGUG